CAAUAGCGUAUAUUAAAGUUGUUGCGGUUAAAAAGCUCGUAGUUGGAUUUCUGCCGAGGACGACCGGUCCGCCCUCUGGGUGAGCAUCUGGAUCGGCCUGGGCAUCCUCUUGGGGAACGUAGCUGCACUUGACUGUGUGGUGCGGUAUCCAGGACUUUUACUUUGAGGAAAUUAGAGUGUUCACGGCAAGCAAUCGCUUUGAAUACAUUAGCAUGGAAUAAUAAUAUAGGACCUUGGUACUAUUUUGUUGGUUUCUAGAACUAAGGUAAUGAUUAAUAGGGAUAAUUGGGGGCAUUCGUAUUAACGCGUCAGAGGUGGAAUUCUUGGAUUGCGUUACGACGAACUACUGCGAAAGCAUUUGCCAAGGAUGUUUUCAUUGAUCAAGAACGAAAGUAUGGGAUCGAAGAUGAUCAGAUACCAU
This 421-nucleotide ribosomal RNA is filed under the name uncultured eukaryote. RNAcentral describes it as "SSU rRNA". It matches the Rfam family "Eukaryotic small subunit ribosomal RNA", at positions 592 to 1018 of the family's 1831-position model. The record is from RNAcentral.